GAUGAAGAACGUAGCGAAAUGCGAUACGUAGUGUGAAUUGCAGAAUUCAGUGAAUCAUCGAAUCUUUGAACGCACAUUGCGCCCUUUGGUAUUCCAAAGGGCAUGCCUGUUCGAGCGUCAUUUGUACCCUCAAGCUUUGCUUGGUGUUGGGCGUCUUGUCUCCAGUCCGCUGGAGACUCGCCUUAAAGUCAUUGGCAGCCGGCCUACUGGUUUCGGAGCGCAGCACAAGUCGCACUCUUUUCCAGCCAAGGUCAGUGUCCAACAAGCCUUUUUUCAACUUUUGACCUCGGAUCAGGUAGGGAUACCCGCUGAACUUCAGCAUAUCAAUAAGCGGAGGA
Molecule: unclassified non-coding RNA, 338 nt
Filed under: soil metagenome
Description: partial contains 5.8S ribosomal RNA, internal transcribed spacer 2, and large subunit ribosomal RNA
Rfam family: 5.8S ribosomal RNA (bases 1-120)
Source: RNAcentral